CGCCGCGUGAACGAUGAAGGUCUUCGGAUCGUAAAGUUCUGUUGUUAGGGAAGAACAAGUACCAGAGGAAAUGCUGGUACCUUGACGGUACCUAACCAGAAAGCCCCGGCUAACUACGUGCCAGCAGCCGCGGUAAUACGUAGGGGGCAAGCGUUGUCCGGAAUUAUUGGGCGUAAAGCGCGCGCAGGCGGUUCCUUAAGUCUGAUGUGAAAGCCCACAGCUCAACUGUGGAGGGCCAUUGGAAACUGGGGAACUUGAGUACAGAAGAGGAGAGUGGAAUUCCACGUGUAGCGGUGAAAUGCGUAGAUAUGUGGAGGAACCCAGUGGCGAAGGCGACUCUCUGGUCUGUAACUGACGCUGAGGCGCGAAAGCGUGGGUAGCAAACAGGAUUAGAUACCCUGGUAGUCCACGCCGUAAACGUUGAGUGCUAGGUGUUAGGGGGUUUCCGCCCCUUAGUGCUGAAGUUAACGCAUUAAGCACUCCGCCUGGGGAGUACGGCCGCAAGGCUGAAACUCAAAGGAAUUGACGGGGGCCCGCACAAGCGGUGGAGCAUGUGGUUAAUUC
This 564-nucleotide ribosomal RNA is filed under the name Pontibacillus sp. GoH6. RNAcentral describes it as "bacterial SSU rRNA". It matches the Rfam family "Bacterial small subunit ribosomal RNA", at positions 395 to 952 of the family's 1533-position model. The record is from RNAcentral. Lineage: Bacteria; Bacillati; Bacillota; Bacilli; Caryophanales; Bacillaceae.